Molecule: ribosomal RNA, 468 nt
Filed under: uncultured bacterium
Lineage: Bacteria
Description: partial 16S ribosomal RNA
Rfam family: Bacterial small subunit ribosomal RNA
Source: RNAcentral
GACGAACGCUGGCGGCGUGCUUAACACAUGCAAGUCGAACGGAAAGGCCCUGCUUUUGUGGGGUGCCCGAGUGGCGAACGGGUGAGUAACACGUGAGUAACCUGCCCUUGACUUUGGGAUAACUUCAGGAAACUGGGGCUAAUACCGGAUAGGAGCUCCUGCUGCAUGGUGGGGGUUGGAAAGUUUCGGCGGUUGGGGAUGGACUCGCGGCUUAUCAGCUUGUGGGUGGGGUAGUGGCUUACCAAGGCUUUGACGGGUAGCCGGCCUGAGAGGGUGACCGGGGACAUUGGGACUGAGAUACGGAGCAGACGCCUACGGGAGGCAGCAGGGGGGAGUAUUGCACAAUGGGCGGAAGCCUGAUGCAGCAACGCCGCGGGCGGGAUGACGGCCUUCGGGUUGUAAACCGCUUUCGCCUGUGACGAAGCGUGAGUGACGGUAAUGGGUAAAGAAGCACCGGCUAACUACGUG